Molecule: ribosomal RNA, 96 nt
Filed under: Bison bison bison
Lineage: Eukaryota; Metazoa; Chordata; Mammalia; Artiodactyla; Bovidae
Source: RNAcentral
CAGCCUGAAGGCGCCCGAUCUCGUCUGAUCUCGGAAGCUAAGCAGGGUCGGGCCUGGUUAGGAUCUUGGAUGGGAGACCACCUGGGAAUCCCGGGU